Molecule: unclassified non-coding RNA, 187 nt
Filed under: uncultured Cortinarius
Lineage: Eukaryota; Fungi; Basidiomycota; Agaricomycetes; Agaricales; Cortinariaceae
Description: sequence contains ITS2
Source: RNAcentral
AUAUAAAUCAACCUUCAACUUGUUUGAGUGGUUUGGAUGUGGGGGUUUGCUGGCCUUUCAAAAGGUUUCAGCUCCUCUGAAAUGCAUUAGCAGAACAAACCUUGUUCAUUGGUGUGAUAACUAUCUACGCUUAUGAAUGUGAGGGGCAGUUCAGCUUUCUAACUGUCCUUGGACAAUUCAUUGUUGU